Molecule: long non-coding RNA, 410 nt
Organism: Trematomus bernacchii (emerald rockcod)
Lineage: Eukaryota; Metazoa; Chordata; Actinopteri; Perciformes; Nototheniidae
Exons: 2
Source: RefSeq, a predicted model, not a curated record
AUAUGAAUAGCCGAGUAUUGAUUUCUAAUCUGCUGUUCCUAGACCUGCUCUUAUUAGAGAAGCACUGAGCGGUAAAACACCACAGCAACAUGGAGGUCUCUCAGCUGGUGCAUCUUUCUCCAGGGGGGGCUGUACCAAAAUUCGCAGACACCUGUCUGGAUCCAUGCUGGGUCUGAUCCUGACGUUUGAAAAAUGAGGCAGGGGAAGCAAAAUACUAAUAAUAUUUGCCGGCCGUACUGCUUUUUACACUGAUCCACAUUAUAAUGUAAAAUACACUUAUCAUGCUGAAAUUGUCCUGGUUAUUUUUGCUUUUUCACAUUUGAAUGCUAAUGACAUAUGCCUCACACUUUGGGGAUUCAUAAUAUGCAGUGAGUGGUGAAUUAGUUGAAUAAAAAGCUGUUAUAUGAAAA